GGGAAUGUAUCUUAGUGGUAGAGUACUUGCCUAACAUGCAUGAAGUCCUAGGUUUGAUUCCUCAGUUCCA
This is a non-coding RNA of Dipodomys ordii (Ord's kangaroo rat), 70 nucleotides long. The record is from Rfam. Lineage: Eukaryota; Metazoa; Chordata; Mammalia; Rodentia; Heteromyidae.